Molecule: ribosomal RNA, 497 nt
Filed under: uncultured bacterium
Lineage: Bacteria
Description: partial 16S ribosomal RNA
Rfam family: Bacterial small subunit ribosomal RNA
Source: RNAcentral
GAUGAACGCUGGCGGCGUGCCUAAUACAUGCAAGUCGAGCGAACGGACGAGAAGCUUGCUUCUCUGAUGUUAGCGGCGGACGGGUGAGUAACACGUGGAUAACCUACCUAUAAGACUGGGAUAACUUCGGGAAACCGGAGCUAAUACCGGAUAAUAUUUUGAACCGCAUGGUUCAAUAGUGAAAGACGGUCUUGCUGUCACUUAUAGAUGGAUCCGCGCUGCAUUAGCUAGUUGGUAAGGUAACGGCUUACCAAGGCAACGAUGCAUAGCCGACCUGUGAGGGUGAUCGGCGACACUGGAACUGAGACACGGUCCAGACUCCUGCGGGAGGCAGCAGUAGGGAAUCGUCCGCAAUGGGCGAGAGCCUGACGGAGCAACGCCGCGUGAGUGAUGAAAGUCUUCGGAUCGUAAAACUCUGUUAUUAGGGAAGAACAUAUGUGUAAGUAACUGUGCACAUCUUGACGGUAACUAAUCAGAAAGCCACGGCUAACUACGUG